AGACCCGAAACCCGGUGAUCUAGCCAUGGGCAGGUUGAAGGUUGGGUAACACUAACUGGAGGACCGAACCGACUAAUGUUGAAAAAUUAGCGGAUGACCUGUGGCUGGGGGUGAAAGGCCAAUCAAACCGGGAGAUAGCUGGUUCUCCCCGAAAGCUAUUUAGGUAGCGCCUCGUGAAUUCAUCUCCGGGGGUAGAGCACUGUUUCGGCUAGGGGGCCAUCCCGGCUUACCAACCCGAUGCAAACUGCGAAUACCGGAGAAUGUUAUCACGGGAGACACACGGCGGGUGCUAACGUCCGUCGUGAAGAGGGAAACAACCCAGACCGCCAGCUAAGGUCCCAAAGUCAUGGUUAAGUGGGAAACGAUGUGGGAAGGCCCAGACAGCCAGGAUGUUGGCUUAGAAGCAGCCAUCAUUUAAAGAAAGCGUAAUAGCUCACUGGUCGAGUCGGCCUGCGCGGAAGAUGUAACGGGGCUAAACCAUGCACCGAAGCUGCGGCAGCGACACUCAGGUGUUGUUGGGUAGGGGAGCGUUCUGUAAGCCUGCGAAGGUGGCCUGUGAGGGUUGCUGGAGGUAUCAGAAGUGCGAAUGCU
Molecule: ribosomal RNA, 591 nt
Filed under: Salmonella enterica subsp. enterica serovar Infantis
Lineage: Bacteria; Pseudomonadati; Pseudomonadota; Gammaproteobacteria; Enterobacterales; Enterobacteriaceae
Also listed under: 1 other name
Description: partial 23S ribosomal RNA
Rfam family: Bacterial large subunit ribosomal RNA
Source: RNAcentral